Non-coding RNA from Zootermopsis nevadensis, 3789 nucleotides. The record is from RefSeq and is a predicted model, not a curated record. Lineage: Eukaryota; Metazoa; Arthropoda; Insecta; Blattodea; Termopsidae.
AUUCAUUACGAUGUGAAUUGCGAAUGAUUAGCCUUGUCACGUGGCGAGGACUAUAAACCGGUCACUGUUAACUAACUGUUGACACUGUUGGCACCUUCAAAUUGUGUUCUCUUUUUUUCGUACCUAGCACUUGCGAAAUUCCCAUACGACUUAAUGAAAGACAUUAAUCAGGUCGUCGCGAAUUGAGGAGUUCAAUAAUAGCAAUUUGUUCAACGCACGCUAAAUAUAAUAUAGAACCCCGAGUAUUUCCAAAGCAGUUGGUCUCGCAUUUACGCUUGUUUCACAAUAUAAUGUGUGGCUGCGUUUGUGACUGUUUUACUGACUAGCUGAGCUCAAAGCAAAUCUGACUGACAGCAGUUCAAAGUGGAGAGAAAGAAUAGCUAAGGAACGCGGGAUCAGACGUGUCUGAGAGGCUGCGCACUGGCGUUCGGCGCCUUUUAAAAUAUCCGAGAAUAUUGAGACGUGGGGCAAAUGCAGGUUAUAGUCGCUUCUCGCUUCUCUCAUCAAGGUGGCGCGCUGUAUUCAAGCUCCUGUGUUCUUGGUAAAACAAUUGUAUUAACCUUUUCCGUUCGUGAAGGUCUGAAGAGUUUUAAACUUCAGGAGAAGAAAUAAACAUUCCAUGGCUCCUACACCUUCGGCCAGUGUUCCAUGCGAGGAAGAAGGGGAUAUAUCUGAGCAGGCAGAGACUGGCGACGUCACUACGCGACAAGCAAGAAUAUUGGAUGUCGUGACACAUUUGAGUGCACGUGCCGCCAGAAAUGCUUCACUCCAAUAUUAUAACAUGAAGGAGGGAGUUAACGUAACGGAAGACGCACAGGGACGUAUUCCUCGAGCCUUUUACGACGAGGGAAUAAUUUCUGCAGACAACUAUCUAUAUCCAAAUGGGAUUUGGGCUUCCGGUAACAUGACCAACUUCUCGUCGGCAGGAGAAACCGAUCACGGCGAUCAAAUAUCUCCAUCUAUGUCGCGUUUGCACGAGUUCCAGAUCAUCAAAGCUGUCGUAUUAGCUGCCGUUACAGUGGUUAUUCUUAUCUCAAUAUGCAAGAUGGUGUUUCAGUUAUUUGUGCGGUAUACAGUGAAACACGACAAAUAAAGUGUGUUUAAUGCGGUGUCAGCUUAGGGCAAUGUGUUUGGCGCCUCUUCUGAGGGCAGUCUACCAAUAUGUAUUCAGGCUCAUUUGUUUUGGUAAUGAAACUUGUUUAAGGAACAUGGCUGUAUAUGGAGGUAGUUUACGUUUCAGGGUAAUAGGGCCUAACUGUCGAUACUCUUCACGCGUUGUGUUAGCAUAAACAACGCCUUUUGGGAACACUGUUUAUCUCGCGAUUUUCAAUUUCUGAACGAUGGUUUAAUUCUCUGACUACGUGUCGAUAAAUUGAUAACCUGGCUGUUGCAAAAUUAAAACUGCAACUUUAUCUGUUUAUUUUCAUAAAAUUUUACGAUUUUUAGUGAAAUUUUUAGUUCGUUACAUUUUCGACAAAUCUAAGAGCAGUUAUAAAAAAGAUGUCACUAAGAUGGAGCUUCUCUUUGAGAAGCUGUAUAAAAUUGUAACUGAACGUAAAUAAAACCAUGUUGACUCCAGGUUUCCACCCUCCGACUCUCUAAUUUUCCUAGCGUAAUUACAAUAAGCUGUAAUUUCCGAGCUAUUCGGACUGGUUGCAAUGAACAUCAGAUUGUCAUUUACGGACUUGAAAUCGUAAAUGUUCUGGAAUUUAGUUUUUGAUGAUAAUGUACAUUUUAAUGUUUAUUUAAAUUGCUGUUGUUAAUGUUUAUGUACUUAUCUAUAAUUAAAGAUUUCUGUCUUCUGGGUUGUUGCGCUGUGUAGUCUGGUCGAUGUUUACCAACGUUUCAGAGGUCAUACUACCUCCGUCAUCAGGGCGUUGGUAAACAUCUACCAGACUACACGGCGCAACAACCCUGAAGACAGAAAUCUUCAUACUCACCGCUGUGAAAACCUCAAAUCAUACAUUAUCUAUAAUUCUUUGCAUUACAUUAAAGUUUCUUUGAUUAUAUUCCCCUAGUAUUUAUUAUCUGCGGCCCACUGGAAACGUUUGUGUGUGAUUAAUGUCAAGCUCGUUAAAGCUUCAUAAGAUUACAAACAUUACAAGGAUAUUUGUCUCAUGAAAGACUGACUUUGAAUUCGAAUUGUUUUCCAAUCUGUGUUAUCUUUUUUGUCUUCAUAAUGGCUUAGGCCAACUUUACACAAGUAGCAGAGGUUUGAUGGUAUCAUUAUAUAGUUUUGGAUAGUAUCUCUUCAAGUAACACUCCAGGUGUAGUGAAAUUCUUUUAACUUUGUCUUCAGUGUUUCAUAACAUGGCAGUUCAUCGAACUCUUUUGUUAUUCAGCGUUGGAAAGCAAAUUCUAUCUCCGCGUUGAAUAUCAUUAUGUAGACAUCUCUUACGCAGACAUUUGCUUAAUAGAUCAACAUUUCUUUGGUUUGCUGCAGACGUUCUGUUAUAAUUGGCUGUAUGCCUGCAACUACUUAGUGGCCUAACACGUUCGUCUUCCUCCCACACGAAGUAUUUUUUGCAGUCAACAUCGUUAAGUUUCAUUGUUCAAUUCCAUACGCAACCAGAUAUAUUUAUUUUCUGAAAGAGAUGUAUUUUUAAAGCACGGUGGAAGGAAAAACUGUGUGUGAAUCCUCGAUAUUGCAUGAAAUGCGUUAAGUCGAUAAGAUGACUUAGAUGUAUGUGACUGAUAAGUUGGCAAGAUGUCACACUGGGUCUUUAUGACAUUUGUCAAAAUCAUGUGUGUAUUUCCGCAAGAUUGCAAGUCACUUGGUGCUGGGUCGCGGAAGAGUUUUGUCAAGUCAAGAGACACCCCAUCUCCUUGAGGAGGAUAAGUGUUACGUACUUACAAAACUUCAGAUUAAUGUGCACUGAAAUCAUAGCCUUUUGAAAGGUUAAUUAUUAUCACUGCCCAACAUUCUAGUCUAGCGUUCUGAUUCUCUUUAAUGUACUUAACUGUGCAGUGAAUCUCUACUGAACAUAACCUCAAUUUUCUACCAGUCAUCGAAGCAUAGCAAUGCAUGGGCAUUUCCAGUCUUUCCCUGAAAAAGUUUUUCGUGCAAAUUAUACCUGUGUUGUUAUAAUCUUUGCUAUACUACUGCUAAAAAGAUGCCUUGUGGACACCAUUUUGAAAAAAAAAAUAACGUAAACAAGAAACACUAUUUCUUUAGAUACAUCAGUUGACUCUUACAGUUCUAUAGCAUAAAAUCUGGAUUCUGUGAGUCGGUCUAUCAGUUGCUUAUCCUCAGACAUGUCAUCUUUGUCAUCCAAUGUUUAAUAUUUUGUUGAUGAACUUCACAAUAUUUCAACGCUGCAUCAGGCAACAUUUUUCUAUAAGUGUGACUUUUGUUGCAUUUUAAUGCUGAAAGCUACUCUUAUUUGCAGUGGGAUCUAAUGUAUUUGCAAAUUUCUUAUAAAGAACAUCACGAAGCCAAGAGAAACAUUCUUCAGGUUCAUUUUGUUGAUCUGAAUGACACAACUUUUAAUUUUGACGGCCGCACGUAAUGGCUUGAUACGCAGAGAAAUGAAUCCUUGCAUUAAAUAAUCGGAAUUCGUAGUUCGGAUGGCAUCUGGCUUUGAGUAAACUGGUUAAUGGUUACAGCUAAGCCUUGCUACUUUUGCUACCGAUAGUUUAUAGCUUUUGUUAGCAAUACAAGUAAACAUUUUAAGAGAUAGUCUAUGUUGCAUUGCGCUGGGAAUUCAGGAUUUAGAGUUUAAUAAAACUUUGUUUCUCGGCUAGUCAUUGUUUAAUCAAAACAUUCAGUUUAAAUAUCCUUGCAACAUU